AUUGAACGCUGGCGGCAUGCUUUACACAUGCAAGUCGAACGGCAGCGCGGGCUUCGGCCUGGCGGCGAGUGGCGAACGGGUGAGUAAUACAUCGGAACGUGCCCAGCAGUGGGGGAUAGCUCGGCGAAAGCGGGAUUAAUACCGCAUACGACCUGAGGGCGAAAGCGGGGGAUCUUCGGACCUCGCGCUAUUGGAGCGGCCGAUGGCAGAUUAGCUAGUUGGUGGGGUAAAGGCCUACCAAGGCGACGAUCUGUAGCUGGUCUGAGAGGAUGACCAGCCACACUGGGACUGAGACACGGCCCAGACUCCUACGGGAGGCAGCAGUGGGGAAUUUUGGACAAUGGGCGAAAGCCUGAUCCAGCAAUGCCGCGUGUGUGAUGAAGGCCUUCGGGUUGUAAAGCACUUUUGGCGGGAACGAAAAGGACUGUGCCAAUACCACGGUUCGAUGACGGUACCCGCAGAAUAAGCACCGGCUAACUACGUG
This 484-nucleotide ribosomal RNA is filed under the name uncultured bacterium. RNAcentral describes it as "partial 16S ribosomal RNA". It matches the Rfam family "Bacterial small subunit ribosomal RNA", at positions 29 to 507 of the family's 1533-position model. The record is from RNAcentral.